CAAUAGCGUAUAUUAAAGUUGUUGCAGUUAAAAAGCUCGUAGUUGGAUUUGUGGUGUGUGCCUUGGCGUUGGGAUUAGUUUCCUUUUCUGCCUCGGCCGUGCCAUCCUUGGGUGGAAUCUGUGUGGCAUUAGGUUGUCGUGCAGGGGAUGCCCAUCGUUUACUGUGAAAAAAUUAGAGUGUUCAAAGCAGGCUUAUGCCGUUGAAUAUAUUAGCAUGGAAUAAUAAGAUAGGUCUUUGGUCCUAUUUUGUUGGUUUGCGGGCCGGAGAAAUGAUUAACAGGGACAGUUGGGGGUAUUCGUAUUCCAUUGUCAGAGGUGAAAUUCUUGGAUUUCUGGAAGACGAACUACUGCGAAAGCAUUUACCAAGGAUGUUUUCAUUA
RNAcentral lists this ribosomal RNA (380 nucleotides) under uncultured eukaryote. RNAcentral describes it as "partial 18S ribosomal RNA". It matches the Rfam family "Eukaryotic small subunit ribosomal RNA", at positions 592 to 975 of the family's 1831-position model. The record is from RNAcentral.